Panicum virgatum (switchgrass) is the source of this 693-nucleotide long non-coding RNA. RefSeq lists it as uncharacterized. NCBI's taxonomy places the organism in Eukaryota, Viridiplantae, Streptophyta, Magnoliopsida, Poales, Poaceae. The transcript has 2 exons. The record is from RefSeq and is a predicted model, not a curated record.
CGAUGGCCGGGGAGAGCAUCCAAGGGAGUGGACGCAGGGCACCGGGCGCGCAGGAAAAGUAGGAAGCUUCACUGUGCCGCUGACAUCGGGAGGAUACCGUCGCAAACGCAAAGCAAAGGGAGACGCAGAGCAGAGAGGCUGCCUGCGAAGCGCCACAGCGCGUGACGAGACGGCAUGGCCGCCACGGCGUACUCCACGGCGCCUCUCGGCGGGGCGCGCCUCGCCGGCGCCGGCGCCGCCGCCGUGCCGUCCUCCGUCCUCCUCCCGCGGCGUAACCUGACGCCUCUCCGGCUCCAAGGUGGGUGAGAUCAUGGAGCUUCCCAAGAUCAUGGAGCUCGUCGGGCUUGGAUACACCGGAUGGUUCGUCUACCGCUACCUUCUCUUCAAGGAAAGCAGGAAAGAGUUGGCUGAAGACAUCGAGUCACUCAAGAAAAAGAUUGCUGGGACAGAGUAGUAAAAUGUUGCUCCCAGGAAUUUCUUUUGGAUGAUUCUUGCAAGAGCCCAUUACCUUUACUUAGAGUAUCAUUGCCGGCCUUUGCAUUUUGCAUACCUGAGCAGUUACCAGAGACCGUGACGUCCCAAGAAGCUUAAUUAGUUGCAUUGUAAUGGAAUGGAACAGAGACAAUGUACAAACUUUAUGAUGUCAGGGUACCACCUUUAUCGCCUCAUUUUGCAACCAAUAUCUACUGUUUA